AACGAACGCUGGCGGCAGGCCUAACACAUGCAAGUCGAACGCUCGUAGCAAUACGAGAGUGGCAGACGGGUGAGUAACACGUGGGAACCUUCCCUAUGGUUCGGAAUAGCCCAGGGAAACUUGGGGUAAUACCGGAUAAGCCCUUCGGGGAAAGAUUUAUCGCCAUUGGAUGGGCCCGCGUCGGAUUAGCUAGUUGGUGGGGUAACGGCCUACCAAGGCGACGAUCCGUAGCUGGUCUGAGAGGANGAUCAGCCACACUGGGACUGAGACACGGCCCAGACUCCUACGGGAGGCAGCAGUGGGGAAUAUUGGACAAUGGGCGCAAGCCUGAUCCAGCCAUGCCGC
Molecule: ribosomal RNA, 345 nt
Filed under: uncultured bacterium
Lineage: Bacteria
Description: bacterial SSU rRNA
Rfam family: Bacterial small subunit ribosomal RNA
Source: RNAcentral